GCGGCGUGCCUAACACAUGCAAGUCGAACGAGAAAGUCCUCCGGGGGUGAGUAGAGUGGCGCACGGGUGAGUAACGCGUGGAUAAUCUACCUAUGAGUUUGGGAUAACUUCGCGAAAGUGGAGCUAAUACCGGAUGGUCUGUCGAUUAUACUUUGAUUGACGGUAAAGAUAGCCUCUUCUUGAAAGCUAUUGCUUGUAGAUGAGUCCGCGUCUCAUUAGCUUGUUGGUAGGGUAACGGCCUACCAAUGCGACGAUGAGUAACUGGUCUGAGAGGAUGAUCAGUCACACUGGAACUGAAACACGGUCCAGACUCCUACGGGAGGCAGCAGUGGGGAAUAUUGGGCAAUGGGCGCAAGCCUGACCCAGCAACGCCGUGUGAGGGAUGAAGGUCUUCGGAUUGUAAACCUCUGUCAGAAGGGAAGAAGUGCAAGUGGUCCAAUAGGCCAUUUGUUUGACGGUACCUUCAGAGGAAGCACCGGCUAACUCCGUGCCAGCAGCCGCGGUAAUACGGAGGGUGCAAGCGUUAUUCGGAAUUACUGGGCGUAAAGCGUGCGUAGGCGGCGAGGUAAGUCAGGUGUGAAAUCCCACGGCUCAACCGUGGAACUGCACUUGAAACUGCUUUGCUUGAGUACUGGAGGGGAUGGCGGAAUUCCUGGUGUAGGAGUGAAAUCCGUAGAUAUCAGGAGGAACACCGGUGGCGAAGGCGGCCAUCUGGACAGUAACUGACGCUGAGGUACGAAAGCGUGGGUAGCCAAACAGGAUUAGAUACCCUGGUAGUCCACGCUGUAAACGAUGGAUACUCGAUGUCGGGGACUUGAGCUUCGGUGGUAAAGGUUAACGCAUUAAGUAUCCCGACUGGGGAGUACGGUCCGCAUGCUGAAACUCAAAGA
RNAcentral lists this ribosomal RNA (890 nucleotides) under uncultured organism. Its description in RNAcentral is "bacterial SSU rRNA". It matches the Rfam family "Bacterial small subunit ribosomal RNA", at positions 39 to 907 of the family's 1533-position model. The record is from RNAcentral.